Molecule: long non-coding RNA, 1626 nt
Organism: Astatotilapia calliptera (eastern happy)
Lineage: Eukaryota; Metazoa; Chordata; Actinopteri; Cichliformes; Cichlidae
Source: Ensembl
GGGAAAUCAAGUUGGGAGUCCGGUCCCCGAAGGGGGUUAGGGAUGUGGAAUAGGGUUAGGGUUAGGGUUAGGGUUAGGUGUUAGGAAAUGAGCAGGCCCGGCUAUGCCGGAACCUGAGUGCACGGGCCAUCAUUGGGACUGGUGUUGGUGCCCCCUGUUCAAAAAAUUACCCUUAAGCGGGUGUAGUGCACUGGGGUUGGGCCAUUCGCGACGUUUCGGCUUAAUUUAGCCUUCUUCAGGCUGGCCCACCCGCUCUUGUGUUCAAUUUCGCCACUCUGGGCCUUUUAUACUCCUGUUUUUCAUUCCUGUUUUUCUUAACUUUUUCUGUUUCUUAGUUUUUACUUGUUCUCAGUUUUUUCUGCUUCAGCUCUCCCUUUUUCUGUUGUUCUUUGUUCUUUCUGUUUUUCUUUACCUUUCUCUUUGUAUUUCUGUUUUUCUUUAUACUUGUUCUUUAUUCUUUGUUUUUCUUUACCUUUCUCUUUGUAUUUCUGUUUUUCCUUAUACUUGUUCUUUAUUCUUUGUUUUUCUUUACCUUUCUCUUUGUAUUUCUCUUUGUCUUUCUCUUUUUAUCUCUGUUGUUCUUUUUUCCUUUCUGUUGUUCUUUAUUAUUUCUCUUUAUUCCUCUUGUGUUCUUUUCUUUAUUCUUUCUUAUAUUUCUUUAAAUGGCACCCCCUUCUCAUUAGACAUCCCGUCCUUUGUACUGUAUUUUUCUUUUAUGGCACCCCCUUCCUGUAAAUCCUUUCCUUUUGUACUCUGUCUUUUUUCUGACCUUUCUUGUCUUUUUUCUCUUAAUUUAGGUUCUUAGGGCUCCCUUAAGAUUAGGGCUAGAAGGGGAAGGGGAGGGGGGCAAAGGGGUUAGGGUUAGGAAAAGGUAGUGGGUGGGGGGCUCCCCAUAGUUAGGGAGAGAGGCAAUAGGCAGGGGCACCACCAAUCCCAUGAGGCACUGGCUGGUUAGGUGUAGGAAAUGAGCAGGCCCGGCUAUGCCGGAACCUGAGUGCACGGGCCAUCAUGGGACUGGUGUUGGUGCCCCCUGUUCAAAAAAUUACCCUUAAGCGGGUGUAGUGCACUGUGGUGGGCCAUUCGCGACGUUUCGGCUUUUCUUAGCCUUCUUCAGGCUGGCCCACCCGCUUUUGUGUUCUGUUUCGCCACUCUGGGCCUUUUAUACUGUUCUUUUUCCUUUCUGUUUUUCUUAACUUUUUCUGGUUUCUUAUUUUUUUCUGUUCUCAGUUUUUUCUGCUUUAACUCUCCCUUUUCUAUCUUUUUCUGUUGUCCUUUGUUCUUUCUGUUUUUCCUUAUCUUUCUCUUUGUAUUUCUGUUUUUCUUUAUUCUUGUUCUUUAUUCUUUCUGUUUUUCCUUAUCUUUCUCUUUGUAUAUCUGUUGUUCUUUAUUCAUCCUGUUGUUCUUUAUUAUUUCUCUUUAUUCCUCUUGUGUUCUUUACUUUAUUCUUUCUUAUAUUUCUUUAAUGGCACCCCCUUCUCUUUCGACAUCCCGUCCUAUGAUCAGUAUUUUUCUCUUUUAUGGCACCCCCUUCCUGUAAAUCCUUUCUUUUUAUACUCUGUCCUUUUUUCUGACUUUUCUUGUCCUUUUUUCUCUUAGUUUAGGUUUUUAGGGGUCCCUGGGUUUGGG